Molecule: unclassified non-coding RNA, 512 nt
Filed under: Bombus terrestris (buff-tailed bumblebee)
Lineage: Eukaryota; Metazoa; Arthropoda; Insecta; Hymenoptera; Apidae
Description: misc RNA ENSBTSG00005037256.1
Source: RNAcentral
CAUACAUGUUCAAAUAUAAUCACGGAGUGAUUUAAGUAGCUCAUUUAAAAAAUGCCACCUAAUUUCGCUCGUGAAAUAUAAAUUUAUAGGAUGCAUGUGAGGUGUAGAUGUCGUUCGUGAUAAUUGUAGCGCUGACUGUAGAUGUCGCUGCUGGGCUACUGCUGCUUUUUCUUCUGAUUUAGAUGCGUGGAAGAAAAAUAGGACUCCGGUCGCCGGGAUUCGAACCCGCCUCCCGAACGAUGGUUCAGGCAAAAGUACCGAUACGCGACGCCUGGACGCAAAAACAGGACUGCGCUGCCACUGUCCGACCGUCGAUCGGAGGUGGAUAAAAUUGUAAUAGUCGGUGUAUAUCACUUUGACUGCCACGCCAAAAUCACAUGUUUCGUUCAGGACGCCACGGGAGUAUUUUUAUUAUUCAAAGCAUGUAAUGACAAAAUAAUAAUAAAUUGAUGAUAUAAGACAACAUUCUUCCCCAAUGGACCGUUCAUCUUAUUGAUGGUCACGGGUGACCA